UGAUAGUUGGAGGAGCAAACAUUUGUGGACCCGAUAACUUCCCAGAGUGAGGAAGGGGUCAGGAUCCAGUGAGGGAGGCAGAAAAAUAGCUCUCCCUGGAAGCAGACCCAGAGACAGACUGAGAAGCCUCAGCAUCUGAACUGGAUUUCUGAGUGUUCAAAAGUCAGCUAGGAAAAAUUCAUGAGAACGACGUCCAAUUUCCUUUAAGGGGGAUCAGAUUCUUUGACAAUGAGACAGGUCAUCUCCUGGCAGCACCCCACCUACCUCAAAGAAGAUAAUGAGCAUCAAAGAACCUCCAUAAAAAGAUGGCUUCAAAUGUGGCAAACGAGCCACUCAAGCAAAAAGAAAAUGCCCUCUUUUCAGGACAGCAGAAUCUACCAAAAGUGGACAAGCCUAAAUGCAGGACAGAUCAACUUCUGAACUCUACCAAGACAGGGUCGCUGCCCUCAGACCUCUCCUCACACCCUGCUGGGCAGAGCUAGAGCAAGCCUAACUGCGAAGGAAACUAGGAAAUCAGGUUGUCGGUAGGAAAAGCAUAUCUCUGUCCAGCAAAAACUCCAGGAAGCUGUUUCUAAAGGAAGAAAAAAAAAAGUGGAUAUUGGUAUCUAGCUGUUUCUGGCAUAAGAAACAAAAGCAAUU
This is a long non-coding RNA of Meriones unguiculatus (Mongolian gerbil), 639 nucleotides long. RefSeq lists it as uncharacterized. Lineage: Eukaryota; Metazoa; Chordata; Mammalia; Rodentia; Muridae. The transcript has 4 exons. The record is from RefSeq and is a predicted model, not a curated record.